This 1237-nucleotide long non-coding RNA is filed under the name Chloebia gouldiae (Gouldian finch). RNAcentral describes it as "Erythrura gouldiae (Gouldian finch) lncRNA (ENSEGOG00005005867.1)". Lineage: Eukaryota; Metazoa; Chordata; Aves; Passeriformes; Passeridae. The record is from RNAcentral.
AAAUAUUUUUUUAAUGGCUAGUCAUAUUUACUCCUUUUAUAUGAAUCAUUUAUAAUUCUACAUUUCUAUAUUAGUUUUUUUUAAUAGAUGCUUGUGUUUCUUGUAUUUCCUGAUAGAAAAUCCCUCAUUCAUGUAAUAAAAAUGGAUUAAAAUAUUACCUGAACAAAACUUGCAUGUUUUUUCUUUUACUUUAUAGAAAAGAACGCAUCUUACCUGCAAGUAAAAAUUGCUGUUGGUGCUAAGUAGUCCAUAGUUAAAGCUCUUUUGAUAUUUAACAGUAGCAGAGAGUGCUUGUGAUGGCAGCAAUUUUGAAUGUACCUACUUUUAUGGCACCUGCUUUCUUCAUUUUUAUAAGGUUUUAUAACAGUAAAACCUGGUCAGCAGAUGCAUGUGUUUACUAUGCAUGUUAAUGUAAAAUAGAGUUGGCCUUCAAUGGGAAUUCUGCUUCCUGCGGGUGUUUGUCGACUUUAUUAAACAAUGUCAAAGUGGUAGAACUGAGUAAUUUUACAUACCAUACUGAAAAUCUACUGAUGCUGACCUUGUUAUAUAGAAUCAGGGAUGUGCUUUUAGAAAAGCAUAAAAAUACUCGUGGUACAAAAUAAGAUCUGGUAAGGAAAGGAGUCUUUUAAGUACAGAAGGGGCAAAUGAAAUCGUCUGAGGUCAGUGUUGUGUGUUUGUAAAGUAGUAUCCAGUUGUUGUUUCUUUGCAGCUCUGGGUUGUAGAGGCGUAGGAGCGCUCAGGAGCUGCAGAGGACGGCGGAGGAAGCCGUGCUCACUCAGCAGUCACGGGCUGAGCACUCGGCAACGCCGCGGCCGCCUCGCACUGGGGACGCUCGGAGCAGGGGCAGCAAACUCCCUUCCUCCACGUGCACUACUGAUGCCCAAUGCAGCUUUCUAAGGAACUUGUAUUUUAAACUGAAGGGGUGCCUGCAGAAUUGCAUGGUGGGACAAUCAGAUGUAUGCUGUCUCUCAAAGUUCACUACUGAUGAUCAAGGUUUCAAUGUAUGCAGCUGACUUCCUGAGAAAGGCAUACAGUAGCAAGAAUACAUCCAAAGGUGACAAGGAACUAAGCUUGGAAUUGUCAUCCUUGCAGUGAAAAGCAUCUAUUCUCGGUAUGCAUUACUCCUAGCUAAAAUAAUGCUAUGUUUUUACUUUAAUUUUAUGUGCUGAUAGUGCGUAACUUCCCAGCUUCUUAAUUAAGGAAUAAAAUUUUAUUCCUUAAAUUUUAUUCCUAAAAU